This 395-nucleotide long non-coding RNA is filed under the name Apteryx rowi (Okarito brown kiwi). RNAcentral describes it as "lncRNA (ENSARWG00000011220.1)". Lineage: Eukaryota; Metazoa; Chordata; Aves; Apterygiformes; Apterygidae. The record is from RNAcentral.
CAUAAGUGAGCCCCUGUGCCAGUACUUCUUGUUCCAGCCUGCUUGCCACCAAAAUAUUGGAACACAACAUCUUGAAGGACAGCCAGUGCUAGAGGGAUUAGCCCCAGCAGACCUCUUCUGAAGGUCCAGGAAAGAAACCCGCGUUCCAUUUAAACCAGCGGCAAACCUUUUGCUAUCCUUAGGAUGUACCUACAUUGCACAGUCUCCUGGACUUCUCACUCACCUUUUAUAAAUUAUUGAAGGUAGCCACCAAUGCCUCUGAGACUGCACACCCUGUACUUUACAAUGAAUCUUAUCAGGCCAGCUGAUUUAGUCCAACUUACCUCAGUUUUGCCUCAGAAUUGCACCUGGACCUUCACAUCUGUGCCUAGUGCCUUCCCAUGCUCAUGUGCCUG